AUGACACAAAUCUUAAAUAUGUAUAUUUAUUUUACAGUUGCAAACAAACAGACCCCCAUCACUGCCACAAAUCCCACUCUCUCCACCCUCAGUUCAGCAGAGAAGCCUUAUUUUACCACCAUGGGAAAAACAAUGGACACGUCUACGACUCUCGGACAGACCACCUUUACAACGACACACACAGUUGCCACAACAGCAGAAACUUCCCAGAACACAACUCUGAGGACCACAACAAAGGAGGAGGAGCCUAUGACCACAACCGAUAGUGUAACACUUUCCUCGUCCAGUACACUGACAGACAGAGAAAAUCUGACCACAAUGUCCUUACAGUCCACCAGUUCAAGCAACACCAGCACCACCGUCCCCACCCUUAAAACCAGCACCAACGCCAGCACCGCCAUCAUACCCAGCUCCGCCAUCAUACCCAGCACCGCCAUCUUACCCAGCACCACCAUCAUACCCAGCACCGCCAUGAUACCCAGCACCGCCAUCAUACCCAGCACCAACACCAUUACAGCUGUGGGAGGAAUAGCUGCAGGAACAGUAUUACUGCUGAUUGUUGUCGCUGGGUCAGCGGCAGGAAUAUUUAUCUUGUGUAGACGACAAGAUGUCAGCAGCACAGCGGUGGAGAUGAGACAGCCCCCCGGCUCGGAUCAACCCCUGUUAGACACACACACUGCAACCUUACUUACCAGCUGCCCAGACUCUGCCCAAAAUCCCAAAACAGACCCAUUAAUUGUUGUUCAGCAGGCAUAAUCCGUUGGACGUCUUUUUUUUUUUUUGUGAAUGCUUUUGCCAUGUAUAUGUGUGUGUGUGUGUAUAUAUAUAUGUAUAUGUCUGUAUGUAUAUACAAAAAUACAGUUGUAUGUUUUUCAUAAACAUAAAACUAAAUAAUAAAGUUAAGUUCUUGUAAAGUUCA
Molecule: long non-coding RNA, 919 nt
Filed under: Astyanax mexicanus (Mexican tetra)
Lineage: Eukaryota; Metazoa; Chordata; Actinopteri; Characiformes; Acestrorhamphidae
Description: lncRNA (ENSAMXG00005004907.1)
Source: RNAcentral